Molecule: ribosomal RNA, 418 nt
Filed under: Acidobacteria bacterium Ellin5413
Lineage: Bacteria; Pseudomonadati; Acidobacteriota
Description: bacterial SSU rRNA
Rfam family: Bacterial small subunit ribosomal RNA
Source: RNAcentral
AAUCAACGCUGGCGGCGUGCCUAACACAUGCAAGUCGAACGAGAAAGUGGAGCAAUCCAUGAGUAAAGUGGCGCACGGGUGAGUAACACGUGACUAACCUACCCAGGAGUGGGGGAUAACUGAGGGAAACCUUAGCUAAUACCGCAUAACACCUACGGGUCAAAGGAGCAAUUCGCUUCUGGAGGGGGUCGCGGCCGAUUAGUUAGUUGGCAGGGUAAUGGCCUACCAAGACGAUGAUCGGUAUCCGGCCUGAGAGGGCGCACGGACACACUGGAACUGAAACACGGUCCAGACUCCUACGGGAGGCAGCAGUGGGGAAUUUUGCGCAAUGGGGGAAACCCUGACGCAGCAACGCCGCGUGGAGGAUGAAGUCCCUCGGGACGUAAACUCCUUUCGAUCGGGACGAUUAUGACGUACC